RNAcentral lists this ribosomal RNA (474 nucleotides) under uncultured bacterium. RNAcentral describes it as "partial 16S ribosomal RNA". It matches the Rfam family "Bacterial small subunit ribosomal RNA", at positions 28 to 507 of the family's 1533-position model. The record is from RNAcentral.
GAUGAACGCUAGCGGCAGGCCUAACACAUGCCAGUCGAGGGAGGAGCCUUCGGGCUUCGACCGGCGUACGGGUGCGUAACGCGUAUACAAUCUGCCUUUCACAUAGGGAUAGCCCGAAGAAAUUUGGAUUAAUACCUAAUGGUAUAUAGAUGUGGCAUCACCUUUAUAUUAAAGCUGAGGCGGUGAAAGAUGAGUAUGCGUUCUAUUAGCUAGUUGGAGAGGUAACGGCUCCCCAAGGCGACGAUAGAUAGGGGUUCUGAGAGGGAUAUCCCCCACACUGGUACUGAGAUACGGACCAGACUCCUACGGGAGGCAGCAGUGAGGAAUAUUGGACAAUGGUCGGAAGACUGAUCCAGCCAUGCCGCGUGCAGGAAGACGGCCUUAUGGGUUGUAAACUGCUUUUGCAGGGGAAGAAUAAGGACUACGCGUAGUUUGAUGACGGUACUCUGCGAAUAAGCAUCGGCUAACUCCGUG